Oncorhynchus keta (chum salmon) is the source of this 396-nucleotide long non-coding RNA. RefSeq lists it as uncharacterized. Lineage: Eukaryota; Metazoa; Chordata; Actinopteri; Salmoniformes; Salmonidae. The transcript is spliced from 3 exons. The record is from RefSeq and is a predicted model, not a curated record.
CUGUUGGUGUGUAGAGGUCACAGAGAGGUACUGUUGGUGUGUAGAGGUCACAGAGAGGUACUGUUGGUGUGUAGAGGUCACAGAGAGGUACUGUUGGUGUGUAGAGGUCACAGAGAGGUACUGUUGGUGUGUAGAGGUCACAGAGAGGUACUGUUGGUGUGUAGAGGUCACAGAGAGGUACUGUUGGUGUGUAGAGGUCACAGAGAGGUACUGUUGGUGUGUAGAGGUCACAGAGAGGUACUGUUGGUGUGUAGAGGUCACAGAGAGGUACUGUUGGUGUGUAGAGGUCACAGAGAGGUACUGUUGGUGUGUAGAGGUCACAGAGAGGUACUGUUGGUGUGUAGAGGUCACAGAGAGGUACUGUUGGUGUGUAGAGGUCACAGAGAGGUACUGUUG